ACUCCUACGGGAGGCAGCAGUGGGGAAUCUUGCGCAAUGCGCGAAAGCGUGACGCAGCAACGCCGCGUGGGGGAAGAAGGCUUUCGGGUUGUAAACCCCUUUCAGUUGGGACGAAGCUUCGGCGGUGAAUAGCCGUUCGGAGUGACGGUACCUUCACAAGAAGCACCGGCUAACUACGUGCCAGCAGCCGCGGUAAUACGUAGGGUGCAAGCGUUGUCCGGAAUUAUUGGGCGUAAAGAGCGUGUAGGCGGCCCGACCAGUCCGCUGUGAAAGUCCAGGGCUCAACCCUGGAAUGCCGGUGGAUACUGUCGGGCUAGAGUCCGGAAGGGGCGAGUGGAAUUCCUGGUGUAGCGGUGAAAUGCGCAGAUAUCAGGAGGAACACCAAUGGCGAAGGCAGCUCGCUGGGACGUGACUGACGAUGAGACGCGAAAGCGUGGGGAG
RNAcentral lists this ribosomal RNA (441 nucleotides) under uncultured bacterium. Its description in RNAcentral is "bacterial SSU rRNA". It matches the Rfam family "Bacterial small subunit ribosomal RNA", at positions 335 to 768 of the family's 1533-position model. The record is from RNAcentral.